Non-coding RNA from Macaca mulatta (Rhesus monkey), 1106 nucleotides. The record is from RefSeq and is a predicted model, not a curated record. NCBI's taxonomy places the organism in Eukaryota, Metazoa, Chordata, Mammalia, Primates, Cercopithecidae.
AAAAAAAAAAAAGAAAGUGACACUGUAUACUCACACAAUGCGUGGUUGUGUUCUGAUGUGUGCAUACGUGCGUGCAUGUGCCUGCGUGUGUGACAGGGGUGCAGGAAAGAUAGGGACGCAGGAAGGAUGGGGACGCAGGAAGGACAGGGACGCAGGAAGACAAGGAAAGUGUCUCUGAGCUCAUCUGAAGACACCACUCAUAAGACACAAAUUCCAUUUUCUCCAGUCUUUCUUUCUUCCGGACAAUGAAGACCGUGGUCAUGCCCCUUCGUCCUGUCUUGCAGAUAAUCAGGCAAAUGCAUCAAGAAUCGCUUGGGUCUUACAACAGAAGUUGGUGGUAAAGUAGUUAAAACAAACUUAUUUACCACAUUAAUUAAAUGGUCUAUUUAACACGGAAUAUCAAUUCUCUAAUCACAUCUCAGUUGAACUUCUCCUUUUAAUUAACAACUCUGAAGUCUACUGACAGAGGUCCUACUGUUCUAGGAGCAUUAAGAGCAUUUUCAUUAUCUGGCAAAUGAGGGGUAAGAGGCAGAAAAGCAAAGCACGCUCAGGAGCGGCCUCUCCCCUACUUAAGAGAUGAUUAGGGAGUGAGGCGCGGCAGCUCUCAUUAGUUGCUUAGCAAUGAGACAACCUCCUAUGAAAUCAUAAAGGGAAACAAAGUCUCAGAGGGGUUGCAAUAAAAUUCACUCCAUGGAUAUGUCCUCAUCCUCGGAGGAUAAUCUGUCCUCCGGUAAAGCUCAUCUCUCCAGAUUACACCAAGGAUGGGAAUCUGAAGCCGACCACAAACUGGAAACGCUAAAAACACCAUGUAAUAAAAACAGGCAAGCGCCCAGUCCAGAAGGCUUGCAGGAAGACAAAACCGGGUUUAAAUUAAAAUGCUUAACACACGGCAAGUCCACCGAAGUUCACGUUUAAGUUUGCGGGAAAUCUUACCUAUGUAUUCACAAAUGAAGACCACAAAGAAAGGAGUGACGAGGUCAUUUAUCCCCUGGACGUAUCCACUGGCGGGGUGGCGGAUCGCCCAUAUGAACAAGAUCCUUUCGAAAAUCUGAAAGAAAAUGGAACAGGUGGUAAAGCACGAAGUAAACAUGGCAGAAACUUUAAAA